UACGUAGGUGGCGAGCGUUAUCCGGAAUUACUGGGUGUAAAGGGUGUGUAGGCGGGAGUGCAAGUCAGACGUGAAAACUAUGGGCUCAACCCAUAACGUGCGUUUGAAACUGUGCUUCUUGAGAGUGGGAGAGGUAAACGGAAUUCCUGGUGUAGUAGUGAAAUGCGUAGAUAUCAGGAGGAACACCGGUGGCGAAGGCGGUUUACUGGACCACAACUGACGCUGAGACACGAAAGCGUGGGGAGCAA
This 248-nucleotide ribosomal RNA is filed under the name uncultured Oscillospiraceae bacterium. RNAcentral's name for it is "partial 16S ribosomal RNA". It matches the Rfam family "Bacterial small subunit ribosomal RNA", at positions 524 to 771 of the family's 1533-position model. Lineage: Bacteria; Bacillati; Bacillota; Clostridia; Eubacteriales; Oscillospiraceae. The record is from RNAcentral.